UCGCGGUCCCCUUCCUUGGGGCGUUUCCUCCCUAGACUUGGGCCCGGGCGCCGAAUGGCGACCGGGCCUCUUUAUUUGUCCUUC
Molecule: non-coding RNA, 84 nt
Organism: Rhodopseudomonas palustris CGA009
Lineage: Bacteria; Pseudomonadati; Pseudomonadota; Alphaproteobacteria; Hyphomicrobiales; Nitrobacteraceae
Source: Rfam